This is a long non-coding RNA of Gasterosteus aculeatus aculeatus (three-spined stickleback), 3704 nucleotides long. The record is from Ensembl. Lineage: Eukaryota; Metazoa; Chordata; Actinopteri; Perciformes; Gasterosteidae.
GUGAGAGUUGAGCAACUCAUGUUUGUUCUCGUUGUCCGGCAUGUGCUGAAGUCUGGGUGCUUUGUUUGUUGCUCGCCAGUACCGUGCGGGUGAGCAAACCAUACUAAGGAGAAGGUUAGACCUGAACCAGACCUGGUGAGCCCAGGGUCCUACCUGCUGGUGCACAGGUGCAUUGGGCCAAGAAGUCAUGCGACUCUCAUGUCUUUCAAGCAGAAAAUGGACCCUGCGAUGCGAUAAUGGGCAAUCUGUCACUGUGUGUACCUGUUGAGUCCACCAACAAUCCUCCAUCGGCGGGGGUCGCAGGGGGGCUGGAGUCUAUCCCAGCCAACUUCGGGCAAGAGACAGGGUACAUCCUGGACUGGUGGACACACCUACGGGUAAUUUAGAGUCCCCAAUCAACCUGAUCCCCAGAGCAUGUCUUUGGACUGUGGGAGGAAGCCGGAGUACCCAGAGAGAACCCACGCAGACACAGGGAGAACAUGCAGACUCCACACAGAAAGGCCACUGGGCGGAGUCAAACCCAGGACCUUCUUGCUGUGAGUUGACAGUGCUAACCAUCACACCACCAUGCUAACCAUCACACCACCGUGCCGCCCUAUUCUGCAGAAUCCUAUUCCUAUCCUAUCUGCUCCUCCGUCAUGUCGUUUUCCGCCGCGAUGCAGAGGGUUUUUGAUCAUGCCACUCCCGGAUGGGAGGCGGCCCGGGGACUGUUUGGGCUGCAGCAGGGAACGCGAUCCGUUUCCGACUAUUCCAUUGACUUUCACACGGGGAGAGUGACUGGAACCAAGCCUCCCUUCGCGAUGCCUUCUACCGCGGAUUAUCCAGCCGCGUAAAGGACGAAUUGGCAGCUCGGGAUCUCCCUGCUGGUUUAAACGCGUUGGUCGCUCUCUCCAUUCGGAUCGACGGCCGUCUGCGGGAGCGGAGAAGAGAGAGGGUCGCUUACGCAGCUUUAGGAUCACCGCCGGAAGGUGAAUUUAGAAAUGCCCUCUCGACCCCGAAUCAAGGCCGGCAAAUCUCCUCGACCGGGACCUGGCCAUCAAGAUGGGGAUUGAGCAAGUAGCUUUGGAAAGACCCAUCCGGGCCACGGCGUUGGACGGUCGGCUACUCUGCAGGGUUACCCAUCAAACCACCCCUCUGCGCUUGGAGAUGUCAGGUAAACACAGUGAAGCACUUACCUUUCAUGUACUUCAUGCACCUCAAAAACCAGUCAUUUUGGGAUUUCCAUGGUUUAGGAGGCAUAAUCCGCAUAUUGACUGGGCUACUGGGACUAUAUUUGGGUGGAGUUCUCACUGUCACGCGGUUUGUUUAAAGCCUGCAUCUGCCAUUACCCGCUCCGUGUUUCCUGAGUCCCCAGAUCUCACUGGCGUACCGGAGGAUUACCACGACGUGAGGGAGGUGUUCAACAAGGCUCGGGCCACCUCACUACCACCUCACCGCCCGUACGAUUGUGCUAUAGACCUCCUUCCGGGACCUCGCCCCCAAGAGGGCGACUAUUCUCUCUGUCGGCCCCUGAGACUAGGACUAUGGAGAAGUACAUCAGCGACUCCUUGGCUUCCGGCCUCAUUAGACCGUCGUCAACCCCGGCCGGCGCUGGGGUUUUUUUGUGAGCAAGAAGGACGGAUCCCUGCGACCCAGGAUUGAUUACAGAGGACUCAAUAACAUCACCAUCAAAAACAGACCCUGCUCGGCAGUUUGUGGUGGAGGUGGAUGCGUCAGACACCGGCGUAGGAGCGGUUCUCUCGCAGCGGUCGUCUACAGAUCAGAAGGUUCACCCAUGCUAAAGCUUGCACUGGAGGAGUGGAGACACUGGCUGGAGGGAGCUGACCAGCCGUUUAUGGUGUGGACUGACCACAAAAACUUAGAGUACAUUCGCUCUGCCAAGCGGUUGAACUCCAGACAGGCAAGGUGGGCCCUAUUUUUUUACCGUUUUGAGUUUACUCUAUCCUACUUCCCGGGCACGAAGAAUGUCAAACCUGAUGCCCUGUCCCGUCAGUACCAGUCCAGGAGCUGCGUUCAGAGUCCGGAGAACAUUCUCUCUCCUGAAUGUGUUGUUGGGGCGGUGACCUGGGAGGUGGAAGAGGAAGUAAAACGGUCCCAUACAGCGCAACCGGCGCCGAGUGCCUGUCCAGAUAACCUUCUGUUUGUCCCAGCGAAUCUGCGUUCGAAGGUCCUGCAGUGGGGUCACUCUUCCCGCCUGGCUUGUCACCCGGGGGUGAUCCGCACGCUAGCUCUGCUUAAACAACGGUUUUGGUGGCCGACUAUGGAGAAGGACGCAAGAGAAUUCGUCGGUGCCUGCAUGAUCUGCGCUCAGCAUAAGGGCUCUCGCAAGGCUCCAUCCGGCCUCCUACAUCCCCUGCCCAUCCCUCAUCGUCCCUAGUCCCACAUUGCUUUGGAUUUUGUAAACGGUCUACCCCCAUCUGAAGGUAACAGUUAUUCUAACGGUAAUUGAUCGCUUCUCCAAGUCUGCUCAACUCAUUCCACUACCUAAGCUGCCUUCUGCUAAAGAGACAGCAGAAUUACUAUUACAGAGAGUGUUCCGCCUGCAUGGUCUGCCCGUCGAGGUGGUCUGCGGAUUACCUGCCUGCCCAUCUGGAAUUGUUUGCCUCCCGACGAAUCUCCCGGUUUUGGACCCAGCCUGAACUUUCAUUAAAACCCCUCUGUCUUGUCCAUCGUGUCCGAGUCGUGCGUUUGGGUUCUCCUGUACUCCGGUACCAGUAACCGUGACAAUUUUAAGCACUUCCUAGACGCUGUACUUUGACGAACUCCUCUCUGGGACAGCCUUUUCAAAUUUGGACAAAACGGUCCCACAGUGAUUAAGUAAAAACUGUUUUUGUGUUACGCUGUUGCCAUGACAACUGGUUAUUCAUAUUCGAAAUGAAGAUGCUUAUGAGGGACUAAAUAUGUUCUAAUCUUUACUAAACUUGAAAAACACAUUAACAGUUAUAGAUGUAGUUACUUCAUAUGAUUUUAAUACUUCCAGACGGCAUUUUGGCUCGAUAGCGCCCCCUACACGUCUUCAUAAAGCAGCCCCAGCAACUGCUGGGAUCUAGGUGCACUCACCAGAAGGCAUCAGCUUUGAUCCAGCUGUACAGAUAUCUCUUCCUUAUCAGCAGAGUGGGCUUGAGAAUAAUUAAUCAAGUUGGUCAAGUUGUUUGUGACUGACAUGAGUGGACAUGUUUACAUACAGGUGUUCCGCAGAGACACAUUCAAUGUGUUCAGUUUGCAAAAUAUAUCUGCCAGACUUCACAAGUUAAUACUUGAGAUUAGCUCAUAUUCUUUGCCUCAACUGAAUGGAGGUGAUCCUACAUAUUUAUUUACCUUUUGCAGGUCUUUGUACAACAAGGCAAGUAGCCAAGUGGUGAGAUAUUCUGUUUACAAAGCCAGACUUCGAAUCCCACACCAGGCACUGAUUUUCUUGUCUUUUUUUUGUCUUUUUGACGGCAUGUCCGGCUGACCGCUGACCCCCCCCCCCGACAUGCAAGGGGAGGCGAAGGCCCGUUCAUCGCUGCUUGCAGCUUUAAUUUCACUUUAACUAUUGCUUCUGCUAGUUAUAAAAUUCUUUAAAAAUGUUAAACUCCAGCCAGUUGACUUUUUAUGACUUCUCUUCACAGAAUGGUUUGUAAUAUUUAACAGAUUUCGUUUUCCAUGAAAUUUUAAUCAAGUCACAGCAAAAGUGUUAAGCCACUGUAUGUCUGACUACGUAG